Molecule: non-coding RNA, 117 nt
Organism: Danio rerio (zebrafish)
Lineage: Eukaryota; Metazoa; Chordata; Actinopteri; Cypriniformes; Danionidae
Source: Rfam
AUUUACAGCCAUAUCACCCUGCAGCCCAAGACCGGUUACUCACUGAAGCUAGGCAGGGCUGAGCCUGGUCGUUACCUGGAUGGGAGACCACAUGAGAAAACUAGAUUGCUGUUGGAG